AAAAAUCCUUUUGUCAUUAUGAGUAUAUAUGAAUUGUAAUAAUUCUCAUUUCCACUCUAGAAAACCAUAAGAGCACAUGUCCUUUCUUUAGAAAUGAAUAUAGCUUUCGGGUUUUUUGGGUUUUUUUUGAUGUUUAUGAGAGGAAAUAGGACAACUCUCAAUAUGUGAACCAUGGUGUGGUGGAGAAAACACAUCCAAUCUUAUGGUAAAUAUGGUUGAAUAAGGUGAUUUUAGGAUUUUCUUUACAAUUGAUUUGAAAAAUCCUUACAUUUAUAGGACUCAUCUAUCUAUAGAGUUCAACUUGGAUAUUAAAAAAGGGAAACUAGAUCUUCAUCUGUUAUUUAUUAUAUAGAGCUGAAUUUACUUAUUUAUAGAAAGAUCUUGACUUAAGUAGAGUCAAGGCUUGUGGAGAAAAUUAAAAAGAAAACUGUUAUCAUUAACAAGAAAUUUGGUAUAUUAACUAAGAGAUAAUAAUAAGCUCUGAUUUAACUCUGAUGCAGUAUAAGAUUAUUUUUUAUUUUUAAUUUUAAUGUGCUGUUAUGGAUUUAGUUCUUAAGAAAUGAGUCUACUUUUGAAAAUGGUGCAUCAGCAUAAGAGCAAAUUUUUGGUCAAAUAAGAUGUCUUAUCUGUGUCAUAUUGUCUUUAAUUUAUGUAUAAAUGUCUUAGUUUUUUUGAUUUUAUUUUUCACUAGUCUAGACAAGCCAAGAUGUAGCUGCUAUUCUUUUGCCCUCCAAUGGUAUGACUUAUUUUUGACAAUGUUGAACUACUGAUGGAAUGCAGGUGAUGUAAAUAAAAUGACCUAAAAUUUUUGCAUAUCAUUGGGAUGUUCAUCAUCCCAAGCUGUGUGAUGUAAUACACCUUAUUUUAUAGCGCCUAUUUAUUUCCAAGGGAAUGUCUCUUCAUAUUUGUCUAAUAGUCUGUAAAUAAGAUUGUAUUUAUUAGAAAUAUUUACUCUCUUGUUUUUUUGUAAAGUCAUCUUACUCAUUCAUUAUUAGCAAAAGUAAAAUAUGGCCACAGGGCUAAAUGAACAACUUGAUUCAAAGAGGAGUUAGAUGAAAAAUUCUAAUAACAUGAUCGGAUUGUGAAACAACAUCUAGAAGUUAAUUCUGUUGAAAUAUGACAAAUCUACCAACAAUCCUGUUUCCACAAAUGUGGGGAUCAGUAUAAGGAUGUAGAUUUGACCAGAAGUAAAUGAACUUAAGUUGUUUUUACACCUAAUGACAUAUUUGUUCAAGGCUUUAAAUAUAAGACAUAAAGUUGCACUUAAUAAACUUAUCCUUAUCUCUUUAGUUCUUUUUGCAAAUACAUACCUGAAUGUGUAUACUUCACAUCAAUGUUAUACUAUAUCCUUUUUUAAAAUCAUGAAUCCUGGCAUUUGAAUAGGAAAAUGCCUUAUAAGGAGUCAUUUUUCCAUCAUUUUUACUUUAUUUUUUCACAAAAUGCAUUUUUCUUCUCAUUUAAUACUUAAUGUGAUUUGUAUCAACCCAAUUCCCAGCCUUACUUUUGCAAAUAAAGUUUAAAAUAAAAGACUUAUUUUCAUAUUUGUACAGUGAUCAGCUUUAGUAAUGACUAUAUUUUAUAUAUGAGUGUACAUAUGUAUGUAACAAAUAUCUUAUGUCUAUAUGAAGUAAGUCUCAGAGUGUGGAGUAAUAAUUUUAUGUUUCUGGUUUCUGUGGUUUAUAUUUUUAAGGUGUGGAUUGACCUUCCUUCAUUUUUACUUUUCCUCAAACAUUCAUAAUUAUGCCAUAAAGUAUACUUUUAUAUCAUUUCUUAUCUCUGUGGAGCCACAGAUGUGUUGUAUAUAUUUCAAAUUUAAUAAAAUGUGCU
Sarcophilus harrisii (Tasmanian devil) is the source of this 1827-nucleotide long non-coding RNA. The record is from Ensembl. Lineage: Eukaryota; Metazoa; Chordata; Mammalia; Dasyuromorphia; Dasyuridae.